AUCGCUUCUCGGCCUUUUGGCUAAGAUCAAGUGUAGUAUCUGUUCUUAUCAGUUUAAAAUGAGAUUUUUCAUGCUUAGACAAAAAAGUAACCAAAAUCAAAUAGACAAAAGUCACUAUUUUGCCAAAGUCACUAUUUUGUUUAAAAAUGGUCAUGGUUGAUAUGAGCAAAUGCCAAACACACAAUUUGCCAAAACUGA
This is a small nuclear RNA of Myotis myotis, 198 nucleotides long. RefSeq annotates it as U2 spliceosomal RNA. NCBI's taxonomy places the organism in Eukaryota, Metazoa, Chordata, Mammalia, Chiroptera, Vespertilionidae. The record is from RefSeq and is a predicted model, not a curated record. The transcript has a single exon.